CCCCCUGGAGCAGCUCCUUAACUUCUUACUUCCCAGAAGUGUUUGCCUGAGGCAGCCCAAGUGAAAAUGGCCAGGAUAGAGUGCCUGACUCAUCAUCCAGAAUAAGCAAAAGUAAAGAGCCUGGGAAUUUAGAAACAGGACGUAAGUGGAAGUUUCCAGUGUGGAUGUCAUUUGGUUUGGAACACAUUUUCUUAGGAAAAGCAGAAGGUUGUGAUGGAAGAAACUAAGGAUCUUGGAAUUGGAUAGACCUAUUCCCAUCUUCUCUAACUUCAAAGUACUGCAAGUAAGUUGUUUCUUCUUUUUAAUUUAAUUUAAUUGAUUUAUUUAAUUUUGAGACAUUGGCUCCUUGCCACCUUUGCCUCCUGGGUUCAAGGAAUUCUCCUGCCUCAACCACCU
Molecule: long non-coding RNA, 396 nt
Filed under: Callithrix jacchus (white-tufted-ear marmoset)
Lineage: Eukaryota; Metazoa; Chordata; Mammalia; Primates; Cebidae
Description: lncRNA (ENSCJAG00000083880.1)
Source: RNAcentral